UACGGAGGAUCCAAGCGUUAUCCGGAAUCAUUGGGUUUAAAGGGUCUGUAGGCGGUUUGGUAAGUCAGUGGUGAAAGCCCAUCGCUCAACGGUGGAACGGCCAUUGAUACUGCCAGACUUGAAUUAUUAGGAAGUAACUAGAAUAUGUAGUGUAGCGGUGAAAUGCUUAGAGAUUACAUGGAAUACCAAUUGCGAAGGCAGGUUACUACUAAUGGAUUGACGCUGAUGGACGAAAGCGUGGGUAGCGAACAGG
RNAcentral lists this ribosomal RNA (253 nucleotides) under uncultured bacterium. Its description in RNAcentral is "partial 16S ribosomal RNA". It matches the Rfam family "Bacterial small subunit ribosomal RNA", at positions 524 to 776 of the family's 1533-position model. The record is from RNAcentral.